RNAcentral lists this ribosomal RNA (499 nucleotides) under uncultured bacterium. RNAcentral describes it as "bacterial SSU rRNA". It matches the Rfam family "Bacterial small subunit ribosomal RNA", at positions 29 to 500 of the family's 1533-position model. The record is from RNAcentral.
AACAAACGCUGGCGGCGUGCCUAACACAUGCAAGUCGUACGAGAAAGUCGGCUUCGGCCGAUGAGUACAGUGGCGCACGGGUGAGUAGCGCGUGGGUAAUCUGCCCCCCGGUCAGGAAUAACCCGCCGAAAGGCGGGCUAAUACCCGAUAACACUGACGCUCCGCGGAGCGUCUUUCAAAGAAGGCCUCUGUUUGCAAGCUUUCGCCGGAGGAUGAGCCCGCGUACCAUUAGCUAGUUGGCAGGGUAAUGGCCUACCAAGGCUACGAUGGUUAGCUGGUCUGAGAGGAUGGCCAGCCACACUGGAACUGAGACACGGUCCAGACUCCUACGGGAGGCAGCAGUGAGGAAUCUUGCGCAAUGGGGGAAACCCUGACGCAGCAACGCCGCGUGAGUGAGGAAGGCCUUCGGUCGUAAAGCUCUGUCAGAUGGGAAGAAAUAGGAUGGGGGCGUAAUAUCGCCCAUCCUUCGACGGUACCGAUCAGAGGAAGCACCGGCUAA